This is a long non-coding RNA of Bombyx mori (domestic silkworm), 1725 nucleotides long. RefSeq lists it as uncharacterized. The record is from RefSeq and is a predicted model, not a curated record. Lineage: Eukaryota; Metazoa; Arthropoda; Insecta; Lepidoptera; Bombycidae. The transcript is spliced from 2 exons.
CCCACAAAUAUAAUUCAAUAUUCUAUCAACAAACCUGAGAUGUUAAUUUAAUGAAAUCAACAUAAAUUUCAUAAAAGUAAAUAAAACUAUCUCAAGAGACAGAAUGUAUAGAAAUCCAAUAGAAAAUCUAUUUUGAAAUCUGGAUGGAAGCAUUUGUGUCAUGCGGCUUAUCAGCUGUGAUUUGAACACCAGCAAUAUAUCAAUGUACGGGACAUCCUUUCCUUAUCAUCUUAUUCUUUGGGCCCAGAAGAUUUCUGAAUAUCUGUAAUAUGAAUAACAGUAUUCUUUCAAAAAGUGAGAUUUUGAAAAUUUUGUGGCUUAUUUUUAAUAUUGUGCUAAUUACCAUUUAAUUUUUCUAUAGAAGUGAAUUUUAGGGCUAUAUUUUUCAUUUAACACAGAACUUAUUGUGAAGAUGAAGUCCAAGUCAAAGAAACUGACGAUUUCAUGAUGCUGUUAGUUCGUUCUGCGUUAAACAAUAGUUACAGCAGUAUUUUCUACGAAUAGCACCUUAGUUGUCAGUGAUCACGGAAACUGCUCAAAUUUCUCAGUUUUUCAACUCUGUAUUUUAUUUUUGUUCGGUGGCUGUUAUAGAGAGAGCUUUAAUGUUAUCCAGUGAUGGAUUUAGGCUUGAUGCCACUAUAGGCUCUGUUUAUCGCGCCACCUUUAAUGUUAGAAUAAAUUUUAAUAAUUUGGAACCAAAAUAUUUUUUUUAAAUUUAUAAUAGCUUUAUUAUUUUUUUAUAUAAAAAAUAAUCUGAACUCAAUUUCAAAGGAGACGACUGUCUUUACUUUUACGGUCUCUUAAAUUGUGAUGUUUGAAAAAUUUUGCUGCCCCUCAUAGCAUGCCGGCGUAAAUCCAUCACUGAUGUUAUCAAUAUGUUAUUUGCAUAUCAUUAGCUAAUUUGGAUUUGGAUCCAUUACGAAAUGCAAUUCUGCUGAACCGUGUGGAAGAAGAAAGUGCUAAACUCGGUCUUAAAAUCAACCAUUCUAAGACCAAAAUAAUGAUAAUAGAUAGAGCGCAACUUCUUCCACUUUCUGAUGCACUCAGUGGUUACGAGAAAGUAGCGGAAUUCAUAUAUCUUGGGUCGCAAAUAACAUCCGAGGAUGGCUCCACGGGGGAGAUAUGCUGAAGAUCCGGUAUGGCUAAAAGUGCGAUGGCCAAUUUCGAGAAGAUCGGGAAAAAUCGUAGUAUCCGAUAUAAAACCAAAUUGCAUUUGAUGCGGGCACUGAUCUUUCCCAUAUUCCACUACGGGGCGAAGACAUGGUGCAUAAAAAGCCGGGAUAUCAAAAAGAUCGAUGCCUUUGAAAUGUGGGUGUGGCGGAGGAUGCUACGAAUACCGUGGACUGCCAUGAGAACAAACGAGUCCAUUCGAAGACAGCUAGACAUCCGAAAAAGGCUCUCUUCCAUCUGCCGGGAACGUGUUAUGAGCUUCUUCGGACACAUCUUGCGGUGUCCCAGACAUUAAUUAGAGAAGUUCAUAAUUAGGGGUCGCAUAGAGGGCAAGCGCGCCAUGGGCAGAACACCAGCCAGAUGGUCAGAUCUAGCAAAAGAAGCACUUGGUGGUAGUCUGUACCAUGCAGUCCAUGGCACCCAUGAUCGAGCACAUUGGAAGUACGUCGCAUGUGGUCGCGAUCCUGAGUAGUGAGGGAACGAUAUGAGCAUUUCUCAAAAUAAAUGCACCACCAAUAAAAUAAUGUACUAAAAUAAAAAUGUUAAACUAAAGCA